ACAAGCGGUGAGUGCUUUGGGGUGGGGUGACUGCGUACCUUUUGUAUAAUGGGUCAGCGACUUAUAUUCUGUAGCAAGGUUAACCGUAUAGGGGAGCCGUAGGGAAACCGAGUCUUAACCGGGCGUUAAGUUGCAGGGUAUAGACCCGAAACCCGGUGAUCUAGCCAUGGGCAGGUUGAAGGUUGGGUAACACUAACUGGAGGACCGAACCGACUAAUGUUGAAAAAUUAGCGGAUGACCUGUGGCUGGGGGUGAAAGGCCAAUCAAACCGGGAGAUAGCUGGUUCUCCCCGAAAGCUAUUUAGGUAGCGCCUCGUGAAUUCAUCUUCGGGGGUAGAGCACUGUUUCGGCUAGGGGGUCAUCCCGACUUACCAACCCGAUGCAAACUGCGAAUACCGGAGAAUGUUAUCACGGGAGACACACGGCGGGUGCUAACGUCCGUCGUGAAGAGGGAAACAACCCAGACCGCCAGCUAAGGUCCCAAAGUCAUGGUUAAGUGGGAAACGAUGUGGGAAGGCCCAGACAGCCAGGAUGUUGGCUUAGAAGCAGCCAUCAUUUAAAGAAAGCGUAAUAGCUCACUGGUCGAGUCGGCCUGCGCGGAAGAUGUAACGGGGCUAAACCAUGCACCGAAGCUGCGGCAGCGACACUGUGUGUUGUUGGGUAGGGGAGCGUUCUGUAAGCCUGCGAAGGUGGCCUGUGAGGGUUGCUGGAGGUAUCAGAAGUGCGAAUGCUGACAUAAGUAACGAUAAAGCGGGUGAAAAGCCCGCUCGCCGGAAGACCAAGGGUUCCUGUCCAACGUUAAUCGGGGCAGGGUGAGUCGACCCCUAAGGCGAGGCCGAAAGGCGUAGUCGAUGGGAAACAGGUUAAUAUUCCUGUACUUGGUGUUACUGCGAAGGGGGGACGGAGAAGGCUAUGUUGGCCGGGCGACGGUUGUCCCGGUUUAAGCGUGUAGGUGUGUGUUCCAGGUAAAUCCGGUUCACUUUAACACUGAGGCGUGA
RNAcentral lists this ribosomal RNA (997 nucleotides) under Salmonella enterica. RNAcentral describes it as "partial 23S ribosomal RNA". It matches the Rfam family "Bacterial large subunit ribosomal RNA", at positions 566 to 1566 of the family's 2925-position model. Lineage: Bacteria; Pseudomonadati; Pseudomonadota; Gammaproteobacteria; Enterobacterales; Enterobacteriaceae. The record is from RNAcentral.